Small nucleolar RNA from Ornithorhynchus anatinus (platypus), 138 nucleotides. Lineage: Eukaryota; Metazoa; Chordata; Mammalia; Monotremata; Ornithorhynchidae. The record is from RefSeq and is a predicted model, not a curated record.
ACCCUCUCAGGGUCGUAUCUGAAGGGUUUCCGGAAUCCUACCAGUCUCAGCUAUGGGAGGGAGAGUCAAGCAGAGUCACACCCCUUCCAUUCCUAGCUUGGGCAGUGGCUAGUGAGUGGAAGGCAAUCUGCUAGAUAG